Molecule: ribosomal RNA, 489 nt
Filed under: uncultured microorganism
Description: bacterial SSU rRNA
Rfam family: Bacterial small subunit ribosomal RNA
Source: RNAcentral
GAGUUUGAUCGUGGCUCAGGAUGAACGCCGGCGGUGUGCCUAAUACAUGCAAGUCGUACGCACUGGCCCAACUGAUUGAUGGUGCUUGCACCUGAUUGACGAUGGAUCACCAGUGAGUGGCGGACGGGUGAGUAACACGUAGGUAACCUGCCCCGGAGCGGGGAUAACAUUUGGAAACAGAUGCUAAUACCGCAUAACAACAAAGGCCACAUGGCUUUUGUUUGAAAGAUGGCUUUGGCCAUCACUCUGGGAUGGACCUGCGGUGCAUUAGCUAGUUGGUAAGGUAACGGCUUACCAAGGCGAUGAUGCAUAGCCGAGUUGAGAGACUGAUCGGCCACAAUGGAACUGAGACACGGUCCAUACUCCUACGGGAGGCAGCAGUAGGGAAUCUUCCACAAUGGGCGCAAGCCUGAUGGAGCAACACCGCGUGAGUGAAGAAGGGUUUCGGCUCGUAAAGCUCUAUUGUUGGAGAAGAACGUGCGUGAGAGU